CCGUCCUCUAGAGUCAUUAAGGACUUUACUUCAGAUAUAAGAUGAAAGAGUCUCACAGAAUCAACAACAAAAACAAUUAGGCCCUUUUAUAGAGAUGAGGAAUACAUGCACACAUGAGAGACCAUUUUUUAUUACUUUUUUCUUGUUCCAUACUUUUCUCACGAAAGACAAAAGCCUAGUCUACAACUGAUAUAAUCAUGCAUAGAAAAAUAGUCAUUGGGUUGAGCUUCUGUAAUGUUUUGAUGCUUGUUCUUUUGGGCAUCUCCUUUGCUUCAAUCAUAUCCUAAUGUAUUGAUCUAAACAUAUUCACUUUUAUUAUUUUAGUCAUUUCAUAAAAGUAAAAAUACUAAUAUCUUAACGCAUAUGGGCUGUUUGGAUGGCAGCUUAUACACUAGCGUUGGUGUCAUUUGGUUGGCAGCUAAAUUUUCUAACCCAUGUCAAAAAAAAUUGUCGCUAGUUCAUUUCCACCCAAUGCUAGAGCUGUUCAUGGUGGCGAAUUUUAUCGCCACUGUAUUGGCCCACCCGCGAUUUGGCGUGGCUGGCCUAGGUGCCAUCCAAACGUCGCCAUAGGCAAUGUAAACUGUUUGGGUCCCUAUUUUUAAUUCACAUGAACUUUGACUAAUAUGGUAUAUAGAAAACAUUAUUGGAAUACAUACUGUAUUUAAGGAAAUACGGAUACAAUAUUU
This 686-nucleotide long non-coding RNA is filed under the name Hordeum vulgare. Its description in RNAcentral is "long non-coding RNA (HVUL_LNC011532)". The record is from RNAcentral. Lineage: Eukaryota; Viridiplantae; Streptophyta; Magnoliopsida; Poales; Poaceae.